UAUUAGGUUGGUGCAAAAGUAAUCGCGGUUUUUGCCAUUACUUUCAAUGACAAAACCCUCAAUUACUUUUGCAAUGACCUAAUA
Molecule: microRNA precursor, 84 nt
Filed under: Gorilla gorilla gorilla (western lowland gorilla)
Lineage: Eukaryota; Metazoa; Chordata; Mammalia; Primates; Hominidae
Description: miRNA (ENSGGOG00000042344.1)
Source: RNAcentral